GGAUCAUUACAGAGUUAUCUACUCGCCAACCCUUCUGUGAACCUAUCCUGCUCGUUGCCUCGGCGCGAGCUCCUGGGCCAAGUUACCCUGUAGCUGCCUACCCUGGAGCCCGCCGGUGGACAUUUCAAACUCUUGUUUUAAACAUGGCAUCUGAGCGUCUUAUUUUAAUAAGUCAAAACUUUCAACAACGGAUCUCUUGGUUCGGGCAUCGAUGAAGAACGCAGCGAAAUGCGAUAAGUAAUGUGAAUUGCAGAAUUCAGUGAAUCAUCGAAUCUUUGAACGCACAUUGCGCCCAUUAGUAUUCUAGUGGGCAUGCCUGUUCGAGCGUCAUUUCAACCCUUAAGCCUAGCUUAGCGUUGGGAGUCCACCGUCAAACGUGGUUCCCCAAAACCAGUGGCGGAGCGGCGGUCGUCCUCUGAGCGUAGUAAUUCUCUUUAUCUCGCUUCUGUCAGGCGCCGCCGGCCCGGCCGUUAAACCCCCCAUCUUUUAGUGGUUGACCUCGGAUCAGGUAGGAAUACCCGCUGAACUUAAGCAUAUCAAUAAGCGGAGGAAAAGAAACCAACAGGGAUUCCCCUAGUAACGGCGAGUGAAGCGGGAACAGCUCAAAUUUGAAAUCUGGCCCUCGGGUCCGAGUUGUAAUUUGUAGAGGAUGCUUUUGGCGCGGUGCCUUCCGAGUUCCCUGGAACGGGACGCCUUAGAGGGUGAGAGCCCCGUACGGUUGGACGCCAAGCCUCUGUAAAGCUCCCUCGACGAGUCGAGUAGUUUGGGAAUGCUGCUCAAAACGGGAGGUAUAUUUCUUCUAAAGCUAAAUAUUGGCCCGAGACCGAUAGCGCACAAGUAGAGUGAUCGAAAGAUGAAAAGCACUUUGAAAAGAGGGUUAAAUAGCACGUGAAAUUGUUGAAAGGGAAGGAUUUGUGACCAGACUUUCUCCAGGCGGAUCAUCCGGUGUUCUCACCGGUGCACUUCGCCUGGUCAAGGCCAGCAUCGGUUUCCGCAGGGGGACAAAAGCUUCGGGAAUGUGGCUCCCUCGGGAGUGUUAUAGCCCGUUGCAUAAUACCCUUGUGGGGACCGAG
Molecule: ribosomal RNA, 1073 nt
Filed under: fungal endophyte
Lineage: Eukaryota; Fungi
Description: eukaryotic LSU rRNA
Rfam family: Eukaryotic large subunit ribosomal RNA (bases 495-1073)
Source: RNAcentral